This 789-nucleotide ribosomal RNA is filed under the name uncultured bacterium. RNAcentral describes it as "bacterial SSU rRNA". It matches the Rfam family "Bacterial small subunit ribosomal RNA", at positions 8 to 796 of the family's 1533-position model. The record is from RNAcentral.
AGAGUUUGAUCAUGGCUCAGAACGAACGUUGGCGGCGUGGAUUAGGCAUGCAAGUCGAACGAAUCCCAGCGCUGUAGCAAUACAGAGGCUGGGGAAAGUGGCGAAAGGGGCAGUAAGGCGUGGGUAACCUACCUCGGGGACGAGGAUAGCCAUCCUAACGGAUGGGUAAUACUCGGCGAUGUGGCGAGUUCGCAUGUUCUUGCCAUGAAAUGAGUUUCGCCUCGAGAGGGGCUCACGUAGUAUUAGCUUGUUGGCGGGGUGACGGCCCACCAAGGCAAAGAUGCUUAGCGGGUGUGAGAGCACGACCCGCGCCACUGGCACUGAGACACUGGCCAGACUCCUACGGGAGGCUGCAGUCGAGGAUCUUCGGCAAUGGGCGCAAGCCUGACCGAGCGACGCCGCGUGUGCGAUGAAGGCCUUCGGGUUGUAAAGCACUGUCGAGGGGGAGGAAGCCCGCAAGGGUUGACUAAUCCCUGGAGGAAGCACGGGCUAAGUUCGUGCCAGCAGCCGCGGUAAGACGAACCGUGCGAACGUUGUUCGGAAUCACUGGGCUUAAAGGGCGCGUAGGCGGGCGAUCAAGUCCGGGGUGAAAUCUUUCGGCUCAACCGGAAAAGUGCCUUGGAUACUGGUCGUCUCGAGGAAGGUAGGGGCAUGCGGAACAUCCGGUGGAGCGGCGAAAUGCGUAGAUAUCGGAUGGAACGCCGAUGGCGAAAGCAGCGUGCUGGACCUUUUCUGACGCUGAGGCGCGAAAGCUAGGGUAGCGAACGGGAUUAGAUACCCUAGUAGUCC